AUGAAGGUCUUGGCGAUGCUGGUACUGGUGGCAGUUUCCACCUUCCUGGUCUCAGGCCAGACUACAACAGAUGUUCCAUCUGAUAGCUCUACUACUGUCCCAAAUCCACCACUGUGGGGCCCACCUCCAAAUCAGCUACUGCCUCCACUGAUGCCACCACCACCACAGUUCCCACCACCAUGACCAGUUCUGCUCAAACCACCAAUGUUUGAAAGAGUGUCAUCAACAAGAUUAAGAAUAAACUAGAUUUGAAAAAUCUAGAUUUGAAUAAUCACUAAGAUGAAGGAAGCCUGGGCCUUUUGCAAUUGAUCCUGCUGGGCUUGGCCACAAUGUCCCUUCAAUUGGUUUAACCCUGACUCUUAACAUGUCUAUCAUCUCUGUCUUAUCCCUAAUCAGUUUAUCUGUUUUCAAAUAAAAAGUAACAUUGAGUAGCAACAAAAUCAUAUAUUUUUAAGAG
Molecule: long non-coding RNA, 457 nt
Organism: Lontra canadensis (Northern American river otter)
Lineage: Eukaryota; Metazoa; Chordata; Mammalia; Carnivora; Mustelidae
Exons: 4
Source: RefSeq, a predicted model, not a curated record